RNAcentral lists this ribosomal RNA (288 nucleotides) under uncultured bacterium. RNAcentral's name for it is "partial 16S ribosomal RNA". It matches the Rfam family "Bacterial small subunit ribosomal RNA", at positions 773 to 1060 of the family's 1533-position model. The record is from RNAcentral.
GUGGAUUAGAUACCCUGGUAGUCCACGCCGUAAACGAUGUCUACUCGGAGUUUGGUGUCUUGAACACUGGGCUCUCAAGCUAACGCAUUAAGUAGACCGCCUGGGGAGUACGGCCGCAAGGUUAAAACUCAAAUGAAUUGACGGGGGCCCGCACAAGCGGUGGAGCAUGUGGUUUAAUUCGAUGCAACGCGAAGAACCUUACCUACUCUUGACAUCCAGAGAACUUUCCAGAGAUGGAUUGGUGCCUUCGGGAACUCUGAGACAGGUGCUGCACGGUCGUCGCCAACU